This 253-nucleotide ribosomal RNA is filed under the name uncultured bacterium. RNAcentral describes it as "partial 16S ribosomal RNA". It matches the Rfam family "Bacterial small subunit ribosomal RNA", at positions 524 to 776 of the family's 1533-position model. The record is from RNAcentral.
UACGAAGGGGGCUAGCGUUGUUCGGAUUUACUGGGCGUAAAGCGCACGUAGGCGGAUCUUUAAGUCAGAGGGGAAAUCCCAAGGCUCAACCUUGGAACUGCCUUUGAUACUGGGGAUCUUGAGUCCGGGAGAGGUGAGUGGAACUGCGAGUGUAGAGGUGAAAUUCGUAGAUAUUCGCAAGAACACCAGUGGCGAAGGCGACUCACUGGCCCGGUACUGACGCUGAGGUGCGAAAGCGUGGGGAGCAAACGGG